ACCCGGAACUUACGCGCGCCCUGGGAAAGCCCGCGGAGCCGGCGGCGGCGAGUAGGAGGAAAUUCGAAGGAGACGCGCAGCUUACACCCGUGGCAGGUGGAGGGAACAAUGUGACGAAACAGCUGAGCUGACCGCCCUUCCCUCAUGGAGUUGGCUUUUAGCCUCACGGCCGGUUUCUGUUGGAAAAGCUAGUGCGUGAAAGCCGCACCUUCUUCUCGAACCAGGGCCCGACAGCGGGGCCCUCUCCCUGGCAUCCACCUCUCUAGUCCAGCGUCAAGAUCACGGAAUUCCAGGCUGGGCGCGGUGGCUCACGCCUGUAAUCCCAGCACUUUGGGAGCCUGAGGCUGUGAGCCACCGUGCCUUGCCCUCCCAGCACGUUCCUUGAUGCUCACCCCUGAUCAGCCCCUCAAUUAAGAUGUUGCACUGCACCUAGUUCACAGGGGGCCUCUUCGCCGGAACUCGCUUUCAGAAUAUGGGGAAGAAAAAUGUCAGCUCCAGCCAAAGCCCAGCACCAUCGCCCUUACCCAGAACACUAUGCUACAAGAAUCCAUCCACCUCCACCCCUUCUCCACCUGGGUGUCUCUCAGACCCAGAAAAUGGUGCCAGUGACCCACUGACAAUGAAAUGUGGGG
Long non-coding RNA from Symphalangus syndactylus (siamang), 632 nucleotides. RefSeq lists it as uncharacterized. Lineage: Eukaryota; Metazoa; Chordata; Mammalia; Primates; Hylobatidae. The record is from RefSeq and is a predicted model, not a curated record.